AAAAGGUUGUGGAAGCAAAGCUUGGACGAAACUCUUUGCAGCAUUCGAUGUUUCCGUUGUCAUUGUAGAGGCAAUCUUUGAGGUCGAUGGUGCUGGUCACAGUGCUUCCGUCCUUGGCCUUGCAAGUUGCACUGAAAUCGCGUUCAUUGAAAAAGAGAUCUGCUUCUAAAUGGAAUUCGCUGCAUUUUGAGUAGUACCCAACGUUGGGGUAAAAAGACUCGCCGUAGUUGUUGCAAGUGAGCGUCCCGUCGGGCUUCACCUGGAGGCACCAUGCCAAGUCGAUGCUCGUGGGAGCAUAGAAGCGGCCUGAGCUCCU
Molecule: long non-coding RNA, 316 nt
Filed under: Selaginella moellendorffii
Lineage: Eukaryota; Viridiplantae; Streptophyta; Lycopodiopsida; Selaginellales; Selaginellaceae
Description: long non-coding RNA (SMOE_LNC000107)
Source: RNAcentral